RNAcentral lists this long non-coding RNA (462 nucleotides) under Hordeum vulgare. RNAcentral describes it as "long non-coding RNA (HVUL_LNC015449)". Lineage: Eukaryota; Viridiplantae; Streptophyta; Magnoliopsida; Poales; Poaceae. The record is from RNAcentral.
UUAGAAUCACUAUCUCAUCAUAGCAACAAUAGUCUCACAGUCAUGACACAAUUUUGCAAAAGUGAUAAUGCAAUCCUUAUGAAAGAACCCCACAGUGUUUCCUCUAAAUAAAACUCCAAAGUGCCUUUCUUCUGAAUCAUUUCCGUUUAGCACUCUUUUCCACUGUAGUAAAUGCAUCAGUGAGCACAUCAACGGCAGAUCGAGACUCAUCCUCCUGCAAAGCAGAGAUGUCAAGAGUAAAUGCUACGGACCGAGACAUAGAUGUUGAAACUUGCCCUUAUCCAAAAGAUGUCUGAUAACUUAAGUAAAAUAGAAACUAAAGUCAGAUUGUUACGGUCUCAACACUAAUUGUAAGUAUGCUGAAGCUCAACAAAUUAAUGUGCACACAACGGCAGACCUGGGAAACAACAAGCAAAAAACCAGACGUCGCAUCACAUAGAGACCCCCGGGAGAAAAAAAAAC